Molecule: ribosomal RNA, 303 nt
Filed under: uncultured bacterium
Lineage: Bacteria
Description: partial 16S ribosomal RNA
Rfam family: Bacterial small subunit ribosomal RNA
Source: RNAcentral
AGCAGUCGCCGCGGUAAUACAGAGGGUGCGAGCGUUAAUCGGAUUUACUGGGCGUAAAGCGUGCGUAGGCGGCUUUUUAAGUCGGAUGUGAAAUCCCUGAGCUUAACUUAGGAAUUGCAUUCGAUACUGGGAAGCUAGAGUAUGGGAGAGGAUGGUAGAAUUCCAGGUGUAGCGGUGAAAUGCGUAGAAAUCUGGAGGAAUACCGAUGGCGAAGGCAGCCAUCUGGCCUAAUACUGACGCUGAGGUACGAAAGCAUGGGGAGCAAACAGGAUUAGAUACCCCUGUAGUCCCUGUCUCUUAUAC